This 244-nucleotide ribosomal RNA is filed under the name uncultured Actinomycetales bacterium. RNAcentral's name for it is "partial 16S ribosomal RNA". It matches the Rfam family "Bacterial small subunit ribosomal RNA", at positions 89 to 334 of the family's 1533-position model. Lineage: Bacteria; Bacillati; Actinomycetota; Actinomycetes; Actinomycetales. The record is from RNAcentral.
GCUCGAGUGGCGAACGGGUGAGUAACUCGUGAGUAACCUGCCCUUGACUUUGGGAUAACUUCAGGAAACUGGGGCUAAUACCGGAUAGGAGCUCCUGCUGCAUGGUGGGGGUUGGAAAGUUUCGGCGGUUGGGGAUGGACUCGCGGCUUAUCAGCUUGUUGGUGGGGUAGUGGCUUACCAAGGCUUUGACGGGUAGCCGGCCUGAGAGGGUGACCGGCCACAUUGGGACUGAGAUACGGCCCAG